UAGAUCGCAUGAUUUGAUAGAUAAAGCUCCGGCGGUUACAGAUGGGCAUGCGUGACAUUAGCUAGUUGGUAGGGUAAAGGCCUACCAAGGCUACGAUGGGUAGGGGUUCUGAGAGGAUUACCCCCCACACUGGUACUGAGACACGGACCAGACUCCUACGGGAGGCAGCAGUGAGGAAUAUUGGUCAAUGGCCGGAAGGCUGAACCAGCCAUCCCGCGUGCAGGAUGACGGCCCUAUGGGUUGUAAACUGCUUUUGUACCUGAAGAAUAGGCCCAACGAGUUGGGAUUUGCCGGUAAGGUAUGAAUAAGCAUCGGCUAACUCCGUGCCAGCAGCCGCGGUAAUACGGAGGAUGCAAGCGUUAUCCGGAUUUAUUGGGUUUAAAGGGUGCGUAGGCGGUCUAUUAAGUCAGCGGUGAAAGUUUUCAGCUUAACUGGAAAAAUGCCGUUGAUACUGAUAGGCUAGAAUAUGGUUGCUGUGGGUGGAAUGUGUGGUGUAGCGGUGAAAUGCUUAGAUAUCACACAGAAUAUCAAUUGCGAAGGCAGCUCACAAAGCCAUUAUUGACGCUGAGGCACGAAAGUGUGGGGAUCAAACAGGAUUAGAUACCCUGGUAGUCCACACUGUAAACGAUGAUAACUAGCUGUCGGCGAUACACAGUCGGUAGCCAAGCGAAAGCGAUAAGUUAUCCACCUGGGGAGUACGACCGCAAGGUUGAAACUCAAAGGAAUUGACGGGGGCCCGCACAAGCGGAGGAACAUGUGGUUUAAUUCGAUGAUACGCGAGGAACCUUACCCGGGCUUAAAUGUAGGCUGCAUUCGGCUGAAAGGCUGAUUCCCUUCGGGGCUGCUUACAAGGUGCUGCAUGGUUGUCGUCAGCUCGUGCCGUGAGGUGUCGGGUUAAGUCCCAUAACGAGCGCAACCCUUAUCGUUAGUUGCCAGCGGAUCAUGCCGGGGACUCUAGCGAGACUGCCACCGUAAGGUGUGAGGAAGGUGGGGAUGACGUCAAAUCAGCACGGCCCUUAUGUCCAGGGCUACACACGUGUUACAAUGGCCGAUACAAAGGGCAGCUACUCCGCGAGGAGAUGCUAAUCUCUAAAAUAUGUCUCAGUUCGGAUCGAAGUCUGCAACCCGACUUCGUGAAGCUGGAUUCGCUAGUAAUCGCGCAUCAGCCAUGGCGCGGUGAAUACGUUCCCGGGCCU
RNAcentral lists this ribosomal RNA (1196 nucleotides) under uncultured bacterium. RNAcentral describes it as "bacterial SSU rRNA". It matches the Rfam family "Bacterial small subunit ribosomal RNA", at positions 182 to 1381 of the family's 1533-position model. The record is from RNAcentral.